This 738-nucleotide ribosomal RNA is filed under the name uncultured bacterium. Its description in RNAcentral is "bacterial SSU rRNA". It matches the Rfam family "Bacterial small subunit ribosomal RNA", at positions 1 to 750 of the family's 1533-position model. The record is from RNAcentral.
UCGAUUAGUUUGAUCAUGGCUCAGGACGAACGCUGGCGGCGUGCCUAAUACAUGCAAGUCGAACGAGACUUUCCUCGGUGGUAACACCCUUGAUUGUCUAGUGGCGAACGGGUGAGUAACACGUGAGAAACCUGCCCUGAAGACGGGGAUAACAGGAGGAAACUUCUGCUAAUACCCGAUACCCCCACCGGAUCGCACGGUCUGGUGAGGAAAUGGAUUCCGCUUCAGGAGGGUCUCGCGGCCUAUCAGCUUGUUGGUGAGGUAAUGGCUUACCAAGGCUUGGACGGGUAGCUGGUCUGAGAGGACGAUCAGCCACACUGGGACUGAGACACGGCCCAGACUCCUACGGGAGGCAGCAGUAAGGAAUAUUGCGCAAUGGGCGAAAGCCUGACGCAGCAACGCCGCGUGCGGGAUGAAGGCCCUCGGGUUGUAAACCGCUUUCAGUAGGGAAGAAAAUGACGGUACCUACAGAAGAAGCCCCGGCCAACUACGUGCCAGCAGCCGCGGUAACACGUAGGGGGCGAGCGUUGUCCGGAUUUAUUGGGCGUAAAGAGCUCGUAGGCGGUUUCGUAAGUCGGAUGUGAAAACUCCAGGCUCAACUUGGAGACGCCAUUCGAUACUGCGAUGACUUGAGUCCGGUAGGGGAGUGUGGAAUUCCUGGUGUAGCGGUGAAAUGCGCAGAUAUCAGGAGGAACACCGGCGGCGAAGGCGGCACUCUGGGCCGGUACUGACGCUGAG